AUCCGGAUAACGAGUUCAAAACAGAACGAAAUACGCGUCAUGGAU
RNAcentral lists this non-coding RNA (45 nucleotides) under Trichobilharzia regenti. The record is from RNAcentral. Lineage: Eukaryota; Metazoa; Platyhelminthes; Trematoda; Strigeidida; Schistosomatidae.